UACGUAGGCGGAAUAUUAAGUCAGUGGUGAAAUCCUGCGGCUCAACCGUAGAACUGCCAUUGAUACUGAUAUUCUUGAAUGUAGUUGAGGUAGGCGGAAUGUGUAAUGUAGCGGUGAAAUGCUUAGAUAUUACACAGAACACCGAUUGCGAAGGCAGCUUACUAAACUAUGAUUGACGCUGAUGUACGAAAGCGUGGGAGCGAACAGGAUUAGAUACCCUGGUAGUCC
RNAcentral lists this ribosomal RNA (228 nucleotides) under uncultured bacterium. Its description in RNAcentral is "partial 16S ribosomal RNA". It matches the Rfam family "Bacterial small subunit ribosomal RNA", at positions 568 to 796 of the family's 1533-position model. The record is from RNAcentral.